GGCCAGGUAGCUCAGUUGGUUAGAGCAUCAUCCUUAUGCACCAAGGUUGCAGGUUCAAUCCCUGUUCGGGGCA
This 73-nucleotide transfer RNA is filed under the name Myotis lucifugus (little brown bat). It matches the Rfam family "tRNA". From Rfam's summary of the family: Transfer RNA (tRNA) molecules are approximately 80 nucleotides in length. Their secondary structure includes four short double-helical elements and three loops (D, anti-codon, and T loops). The record is from Rfam by way of RNAcentral. Lineage: Eukaryota; Metazoa; Chordata; Mammalia; Chiroptera; Vespertilionidae.